GCCUGGUUGGCUCAGUCAUAAGAGCAUGUGACCCUUGAUCUUGGGGUUGUGAGUUCGAGCCCCACAUUGGGUA
RNAcentral lists this transfer RNA (73 nucleotides) under Felis catus (domestic cat). It matches the Rfam family "tRNA". From Rfam's summary of the family: Transfer RNA (tRNA) molecules are approximately 80 nucleotides in length. Lineage: Eukaryota; Metazoa; Chordata; Mammalia; Carnivora; Felidae. The record is from Rfam by way of RNAcentral.